RNAcentral lists this ribosomal RNA (1000 nucleotides) under Paenarthrobacter nitroguajacolicus. RNAcentral's name for it is "bacterial SSU rRNA". It matches the Rfam family "Bacterial small subunit ribosomal RNA", at positions 56 to 1075 of the family's 1533-position model. Lineage: Bacteria; Bacillati; Actinomycetota; Actinomycetes; Micrococcales; Micrococcaceae. The record is from RNAcentral.
UGCAGUCGAACGAUGAUCCCAGCUUGCUGGGGGAUUAGUGGCGAACGGGUGAGUAACACGUGAGUAACCUGCCCUUGACUCUGGGAUAAGCCUGGGAAACUGGGUCUAAUACCGGAUAUGACCGCUCUGACGCAUGUCAGGUGGUGGAAAGCUUUUGUGGUUUUGGAUGGACUCGCGGCCUAUCAGCUUGUUGGUGGGGUAAUGGCCUACCAAGGCGACGACGGGUAGCCGGCCUGAGAGGGUGACCGGCCACACUGGGACUGAGACACGGCCCAGACUCCUACGGGAGGCAGCAGUGGGGAAUAUUGCACAAUGGGCGCAAGCCUGAUGCAGCGACGCCGCGUGAGGGAUGACGGCCUUCGGGUUGUAAACCUCUUUCAGUAGGGAAGAAGCGAAAGUGACGGUACCUGCAGAAGAAGCGCCGGCUAACUACGUGCCAGCAGCCGCGGUAAUACGUAGGGCGCAAGCGUUAUCCGGAAUUAUUGGGCGUAAAGAGCUCGUAGGCGGUUUGUCGCGUCUGCUGUGAAAGACCGGGGCUCAACUCCGGUUCUGCAGUGGGUACGGGCAGACUAGAGUGAUGUAGGGGAGACUGGAAUUCCUGGUGUAGCGGUGAAAUGCGCAGAUAUCAGGAGGAACACCGAUGGCGAAGGCAGGUCUCUGGGCAUUAACUGACGCUGAGGAGCGAAAGCAUGGGGAGCGAACAGGAUUAGAUACCCUGGUAGUCCAUGCCGUAAACGUUGGGCACUAGGUGUGGGGGACAUUCCACGUUUUCCGCGCCGUAGCUAACGCAUUAAGUGCCCCGCCUGGGGAGUACGGCCGCAAGGCUAAAACUCAAAGGAAUUGACGGGGGCCCGCACAAGCGGCGGAGCAUGCGGAUUAAUUCGAUGCAACGCGAAGAACCUUACCAAGGCUUGACAUGACCGGUAAUACCUGGAAACAGGUGCCCCGCUUGCGUCGUUUACAGUGGUGCAUGAUGUCGUCAGCUCGUGUCGUGAGAUGU